AGGACGAACGCUGGCGGCGUGCUUAACACAUGCAAGUCGAGCGGUGAUCCUCCUUCGGGAGGUGAUCAGCGGCGAACGGGUGAGUAACACGUGGGCAACCUGCCCCUCACACUGGGAUAACCUCGGGAAACCGGGGCUAAUACCGGAUACGACCUCGAGCGGCAUCUCUUGAGGUGGAAAGCUCCGACGGUGAGGGAUCGGGCCCGCGGCCUAUCAGCUUGGUUGGGUGGGGUAAUGGCCUACCGAAGGCGACGACGGGUA
RNAcentral lists this ribosomal RNA (261 nucleotides) under uncultured bacterium. RNAcentral's name for it is "partial small subunit ribosomal RNA". It matches the Rfam family "Bacterial small subunit ribosomal RNA", at positions 26 to 285 of the family's 1533-position model. The record is from RNAcentral.